RNAcentral lists this unclassified non-coding RNA (2619 nucleotides) under Leishmania donovani. RNAcentral describes it as "gene:LdHU3.22.0400(CDS-product:Translocon-associa ted_protein_(TRAP)_alpha_subunit_putative)". The record is from RNAcentral. Lineage: Eukaryota; Euglenozoa; Kinetoplastea; Trypanosomatida; Trypanosomatidae.
CAACGAUCGGACGAUCAGAAGAAGAAAGCACAUCGGAAGCUCAUCGUGUCUACGCCACGGGCUCAUUCUCGUUCAGGAAGGGAAGACUUGUUCAGUUUUUUGAGCCCUUGUUGUGUUGUGUGUGUGUGUUUGCGGCUGUCGCUUGUGUCGCCUUCAGCCCUUUCCCUUUCGUUCACUCUCAGUCCUUCAUCACUGGAAGUCUGACGGCGUGGAAGGGGGAGCGGUAGAGGAAGCACGCCACCCAACGAACAACACUACACAGAAGACCAGUCGAGACGAGAGCCGCACGAACAUGUCGGGUGCACUGCGCAAGCUGUUCGUCCUCGCCUUUGUGGCGCUGCUUAUCGCGAGCAUCGUCGUGGCGGAGGUGGUGCCAGCGGAAGACAGCAACGCGAUUUACGUCAGUGGCGAGGAGGCGGAUGACAUGUAUGCGGAGUCGGAGGCCGGUGCGGACCGUGCGCCUUACGUGAGCCGCGUCUUGUUCCUUAACGCGUCGUCGCAAUCCUUCCCUUCCUUCCAUGUAGGAUCGAAGGCAAAUGUAGUGAUUGCCUUUCAAAACAACGGCAACGAAGCCUCACAGGUGGUGUUCCUCGUGGUUGGCCUCCUGCAGCCUCCGCAGCAGUACCACACGACUAUUCAGAACUUUUCCGUGGUCCGCCAGGCGCGCGAGGUAAAGAAGUCGGAGACGGUCAGCAUACAGUACACCUUCACCCCGGACGUCCACCUCGAAAGCGGCGAAUUCAACAUGGUGCUCGGCCUCUAUGUACAGGAUUCGGCAACGAACCAGACGUACUUCAUCACGGCCUUCAACUCUACGGUUAUGCUUGAGGACCCCCUCGGCACGGACCCUCGCACGGUCCUCACGUACUUCACCUUGCUCGCCAUCUGUGGCGGCAUCGCGUACGUGGUGGGUGGCAAGUUAGGCGUAGUGAAGAUGAUCAAGGCGAUGAAGCACUCGAAGGGUAACAGCAACGGUAGCGGCAGCGGCGCGAAGCACCUGGAGAUGGGCACUGGAAGCACCGGCUACGAUCCGGCAUACAUCAACGCUGACCACCAGCGCUACCGUGAUGAGGUGCUUCAUAAGAAGUUGUCCACUUCACGCUCUCGUCGUGCGUCUGCGUCGCCAAAGAAGAAGAAAUGAGCGGCUCGCCUGCACGGCGGCCCCUUCACGUGUGUGCGAAGAUGUGCGUAGAGGUGUAUGAUUUCUGUAAUUGGUGUGUAGGGCACCUAGCUGUUCUCGUGUGUGCGUGUGUGUCCUCCCAGACAAGUGCCCUCUCUCUCUUUCUCUGUGUGUCGGGUAUCUGUCGGGAUGGAUGGAGCGCUCUCCGUCGCUCUGCCCUCGUGGCAUUCCUUCUCUUUCCUUCCUCUUUGGUUGCCCUUCGGUUUGUUUAUCUUAGCUGCCUCUCUAUGGGUGCUGGCGGGGCGGGUGAUCGACGCCAUAAUCGCUGCUGGUGCUGGUCUCAUGGAUUCGUGCGGUUUCGCGCACGAUUCUGGGCGUUAUGAGAAUGGGUGCGCCCUCUUCUCUCGCGCUUCGCGGCGUUCUGCCCUCUCCCGCUCUGUCUCCUCCAUUGAAACACCGAAGAUCGCGACGGCAGGCAGAGCAACACGCAUCGCGCAGCGCUAGGUGGGAAGUCAGGAAAGAAAGGCGGUCCAUGGCGUGAUGCGGCACGCGCGUGCUGUGCAGGCGCUGCCUCGUGUAUUGGUCUCCGUGCGUCUUUUUCCGUCAUUGCUACUACUCCGUCAGUCUACUUGUUCUCCACUGCAGUGCCGACAAAGGGGGAGGCGGAGGGCGGAGGGGAUAGAGCGGGGGGGGGGCGGGGGCGUUCUUGAGACAUAAACCGCUCGCCCGCCUUUUUUCGUUCGCUGUCGCUUUCUCUGCGCAAGCUCAAGCUCAUGCUCUCGCGCGCGCGUAUGCGGGCAGGCAGAGGAAGCAAGGGUGGGGGCACUCAGACACACACAAGCACACGCAUAUGUGCAGAAUAGCUUCGGAGCUGGCCGGCGAGAGAUGCGUGUCUGUGCGCGGAGGGGGAGGAGGACAACCGUGUAGCACAUCGAAGUGCGAAGGAGUUUUGACUGGGCUUCUAUUGACUCCUGCGCACUCCUCGGGUGCCGGUUUCCCGACCCGCUCCGCAGGCCUCCCGACGGCCCUUCCUGCCCCACCUCCAAUUCCGCUUCCUCGCCGGCUCUGUGCGUGUGCGGCGGUGGGCGUAGUGUGGGGAGGGACAGGGGGGCCGCUCAAAGCACGGCCGCAUCUGUUUUUCGUACGGGUAUGCGUUUGGGUAUUGGUGACUGCCUCACCCUGUGUGGAUGUCGACGGCAUUUUGCUCUCGUUGGUUGGCUUACUGGCUCACUUCUCUGCAUAUGUGCGUGUGUAGCUGUCACUCCCGUGCUUUGGUGAGGCCACACGCAUCCGGAAGCGGGACGCGAACACGAGUGGCCACCAGCAGCGCAGUCAUGCAUCCUGCCACAAAAAGGGAGGUGGAGAGAGAGGCAGGCGCCAGCAAUGCCGGAUGCAUGCUUGAAAACAACUCUAGAGGCUUCUCUGUUCAUUGUAGUGCGGCGUUCUCACGGUUGUGUGUCUGUGCGUGGUUGAGUUUUUAACGUAUCAACGGACCAAGG